AAAUAAUUGUAAUUGAUUGUGAAUUUGUGCGAUAUAAGUAUAUCUAUAAUUAUUAUUUAUGCGAGCAUAGUAAAUAUAAAUUUACCGCCGUAGUCACCGUUUGUUGUUAUUUUAUCUUAAAAGUUCUCGAAAAAAAAAAAAAAAAAAAAAAAUCGAAAAAUGAUCACUUUUUUCUUGUAUUGACUUACCUCUAUAUAUUACUAUUACAUUAAGAUGCUGUCAAAGUGUUUUCGGUGAGAAAAAACAAACCACUAAACGUAUUAUUGUAAAACUAAUGGCUUUCCGUACUCGUUUCGGAAGCUUAACGAACAAAAAAAAAAAAAAAAUUAAAAAAUAUCGACGGAAAAUGUAAAAUAAAAAUGGCCCCGAAAAAAAAAAAAUGAAGUACUUUAUCCGGGAAAAAUACGCAUUAGGCAAUUAACGGAGAAUCUAAUUUCGUUCGUAAAUCGAAGGGCACUUAAAACGUAAUUCAAAACUCUUAAAAUUAUAAAAAACAAUAGCGCGCGUAGCGUUUUUAUCGCGAAAUAUUUUACUCGUUGAAUUUCGAUCGUCGCCGGCGCAACACACUUUUCAAACUGCGUACCUAC
Molecule: non-coding RNA, 587 nt
Organism: Cinara cedri
Lineage: Eukaryota; Metazoa; Arthropoda; Insecta; Hemiptera; Aphididae
Source: the annotation of a GenBank genome assembly